UACAAACUUCUAGGACAGAAAGACAUUCAGAGUCUUUCCAGGGUUUCCUAGCGACCAUCUGAGGGGACAGAGCAGGUGACCGACCUUUGCUCUGGGGAGGACUGGUCACUGCAGGGUGGGAGCCGAGAGGGCAGGAAGCUGGCGUCUCCGGGGCUUCCCGGAGCCCACACAGUUCCCAGUGACAGCGCCUCCUGCUCGGCUGUGACAUUAACCAGAGGAGCUGGGUGAGGCGUGCAUGUGUCACCGCCUGAAACUGCUUGGCAGUUUACUUCUGGGAUUUAAUUUUUUCUUUCUCAACUACUUUGUAACUGAUUUCACCUUUCGCCUCCCUUCCCUGCCAGUCACUGCUCUUUUUUGGGAAUCAUUUCAGGAACGAGAUGGGGGUGGUUUUCUGCAAAAGUGUUUGCCACAGUUUUCUUCCACUCUGAAGAAAAGGUGAAUCUUUUCACCGCCUGGCUAUUAUUCCUUCCCUUUCUCGGUUCUUGUUCUGCUUCUUGCAGGCGUUUUCUGCUCCUUCUUCUCCUUCUCCUCCUCCUCCUCUUCCUCUUCCUCUUCCCCCUUUUCUUUUAUUAAGCAUAGGAAAAUUUACUGGGGAGAAGGACUAGGGAUAGAGGUACUGCUGAGACUGGAGGGUCCCAGAUGGCUUGCCCCUUCCUUCCGUUUCUGCUCUGUUCUCAUUUUUGUUGUAUUUUACGUUUCAGUUCAGCCACUUGUGUGAGGAGUGGGUACAAGGGUCCCUGCCACAGACACACAAUGCACUGUGACGCUGGUGUCUGAAAACAUCAGGCCGCUUAACUGCACUGAAAUGAAGAGCGGACUUGGCCUUGCCUGGGCUGCCGGCCUGGGCCACAGCAGCCUUUCUGAAGCCCCGAGGUUCCCGUGCAGUGUGGCAGUCAGAUGGUGCCCAGCUCUGUCCCCAUUCUGCCUCCUGAGACUGUCGUGUGCAGAGACUGUCUUGUAAAGAGAUCAACGUGCCACCAUGCCACCAGAAGGAGUUUGUUAGCCAGCACUGGCAAACGUGCUUGCUUCCAUCUCCUGUGGACCUCAUAGGUGCAGAUCUGGAGAAAAUUGAGCGUGUACCAGAAAUGGCUUUCACUGUUGAAAACGUCCCCUUCGCAUUUUGGUUAGUCUUUUUUAGUUAAAAAGGAAUGUUUAAUCGUGGUUGGUUACUACACAGGUCCAUAGCCUGGAGGCUCCCGUUGGACUCCUCAUCGCUGUGUAACCCGGCAGCUCUGGUGGACACUCCGAAUCUCUUUCCUCUUCCUCUGUCCAGUGGGGAGGAGCUGCUGGUGCACUGCGGGCCAGAGCCCCGGGAGCAAUCUACUUCCAGCUCGAGAGCACAGCCAGGGGGCUCACCUGAGCGCCAUGUUAUUCAUUUCCUCCCAUGUGGCUGCAUCAGUCUACACUCCCACCAACAGUGGAGAAGGGUCCUACUGCCUUGUCAGCAUUUGUUAUGGGCUGGUUUCUUGAUGGCAGCUAAUCUUUCUGGAGUGAUAUGGAAUCUCAAUGUUGUUUUAAUUCUGGAAUGACCAGUGAUGGUACUGCCACUAAUGCUGCCACCAGUAUUGUUCCACAUUUAUUUCUCUGUGUGAUAAGACACCUGGACAGUUGGCUGAUGAAGGGAAGGUGGAAAGGGGCAGGAUGAAGGUGACACAAAGGUUCCCUGACGGUUUUGCAGUGUACAACUGUGCAACUGCGCGUGCCUGUCUCUGAGGCUACCUUUCCUUCUUUGUCCCUUUUCUUAUCUUUAUCCUGUGGUGUAGUCAGGGGUUCUAAGGAGAAUAAUUAGAAUCAGGACACAGAAAUUACAUCAUUAUUUUAUGAUGGUCACACAGAGUUUAACACAAGAAAGUGCAGGAAAACUGUCCACAACACCAAAGACCCGGAAUAUUCAGCCAAAGGCCUGAAUCCCACAGCAAUGUCCUGCAUGAGUCCAGAUGGAAACCUAGAGCCCAUGAUAAUGCCUCCCAGGAGUCCAACUGGAGGUCUAGAGCCCUCGAGAAGGACUCACACCAGUCUGUUUUAUGGAUCCGUGCUGGGACCCAAAGGUCAGUAGUGGAAGCUAGAAAGUCUAUGAACUGGACACUGGAGCCGAGAAGUCACACUCAAAACAGACCAGGGCUGUCCUGAAAAGCACCACAGCCAUCCUCAGUAACACGGAGGCCCCGAGCUCCUCCGAUGAUAAGCACAGUCAAGUGUAUGUCAGGAAGCCAGUGUGAGGCGUUCAUCCUGGAGAGUAAGCAGCACACGUCUUUCCCUCUGGAGCCGGGAAGCAAUACUUGAUGUAAGGACCAGAGCUCCCCGAAAAGUGAAGCAUAGCCACCCUCACCAACAAGAUCCGAGCUUCUCUGAUGACAAUGGUCAAACUCACACUGGCGAAGGUAGGCAUGACGAGCUCCUCCAGAACCAACAGCUCACACAGCAACGUUUAGAGAAACCCACAAUGCUUAGCCUCUCCUUCUCCACAUCUCUGUUUGUGCUGGCAACUUUCCCCAGGUGGAGCAUCUAUGCCCAGUGCCAUUCUGAUUUAAUUCAGCUGGUGUUAAGCUGACCACCAGUUUCUAAUCCAUAACAUCCUGAAAUGACCGGACCUCAUCCAAUUUUCACUGCGAAGGGAAAAUCCAGGGAAGACAGCAUCUCUGUCCUCAUUAAUGCUUACCUGGUGUCCAUCCCCAUGCUGGGGGUUUCGCUGGACCCCAGGCUGUCCUGGACUUCCCUGAAGCACCGUGCCUAUCGCCUGUCUGUAGUGCCAACUUUCAGUAGUCCUUGGGGGAAUUUUACUUCCUUUAGGCCUGGCAUGGUGCCGUCCUCAAGUUGUACAGAGCCCUUGACAUUUGUGUUCUUUAGCACCGCCUAAAAAUACUGAUCUUCCUUGAUCUGAGAGUAGCUCAACAUUUGCACCUUUUAUUUCCGUUACUGCUAAUCCACUUAUGCCAGAUUUCAGUACACACCCCACUCAAAGGUCACCUUCCUUGAAUUGUGGGGUAAUAGAUUUGGAAGAUUCUCCAUAUUCUUUUCUGCCCUCUAAGUGCUAGGAAACAUUCAUUUGAACAGACUCCUUCAUCUCCCGCCUCCCGUCAGCCCCCUGCAGGACAGUCACUGAGAAUCAGGGCACAGAGGCUAGGGGUGAGGUCCAGCAGAGUGGCAGGGCUGUCCCCCAUGUCUCCAGCACAAGUGAGACCAAGGCAGCCUGGGAUUCUGUUUGUCUUAGUACCAGGACCUAGAAUCAGCCUCUUGGCUGCGUCCUAGACGGUGAACAGCUUGGGAUUUUGGAGUCCCCGCUUGUGGGAAACCCUGUAAGUGGCUGCCACCUUAUUCUAUCUGCAGGCAGCAUCACCUUAACCCCUUCUAGGAGUUCAGUGUGAAGGUUAAGCAGCUCCUUGCCUAGCCUGUUUGGCCCAUUCAAGGAUUGGCGGGAAACUGAAAAUUAGAAUGAACCUAUAACCCUCAGCCUUGCCACUGUUGCUAAGUUACCUGCUGAUGUCUCAGAACCCAACUCCCUCCUCCCCCAAUACCCUAUAUAUUUGUUACUCUUUCUUUGAAUAAACGAGACGUGAUCAGAA
This is a long non-coding RNA of Cavia porcellus (domestic guinea pig), 3563 nucleotides long. RefSeq lists it as uncharacterized. The transcript is spliced from 3 exons. The record is from RefSeq and is a predicted model, not a curated record. Lineage: Eukaryota; Metazoa; Chordata; Mammalia; Rodentia; Caviidae.